RNAcentral lists this ribosomal RNA (321 nucleotides) under Mevanidea hystrix. Its description in RNAcentral is "partial large subunit ribosomal RNA". The stretch from base 116 to 275 matches the Rfam family "Bacterial large subunit ribosomal RNA", at positions 2473 to 2632 of the family's 2925-position model. Lineage: Eukaryota; Metazoa; Arthropoda; Insecta; Hemiptera; Coreidae. The record is from RNAcentral.
AAUUAAAUUUUGUUGGGGUGACAGUGAAAUUUAAUUAACUUUCAUUUUUAAUUGUUCAUUGAUUUAUGUUUUUUUUGAUCCUUUAUUAAGGAUUAUAAGAUUAAAUUACCUUAGGGAUAACAGCGUAAUUCUUUCGGAAAGUUCUUAUUGAUGAAUGGAGUUUGCGACCUCGAUGUUGGAUUAAAGUAAGUAAUAGGUGCAGAAGCUUAAUUACUAAGUCUGUUCGACUUUUAAAUCUUUACAUGAUCUGAGUUCAGACCGGCGUGAGCCAGGUUGGUUUCUAUCUGCAAUUGUUUAAUAUAUUUUAGUACGAAAGGACCA